CAAGCCGCAGGACUCUGUACAAACGCCUUGAAGACAAAGAAUGAAAAUAGGCCUUGUAAGGAAAGGUGAAAGAAGUUGGAGCUGGUGAGCAUGGAGAAGAGAAGGAUAAGACAAAAAUGGGCAGAAGGCCUAAAUAGAAGUUGCUCCCGUGAAGACACACAGAUGGCCAGCAGGCCCACGAAAAGAUGCUCAACACCGCUAAUCAUCAGACAAGCGCAAAUCGGAACGACAGUGAGAGAGGUGCUGGUGUCAAAGCCUGCUAAAGAAGAAAUUUUAAAAGUCUAGAUGAUGUGACAAAAACGACCCACGUCGUUAAAAAGAGGCCAACUCACUCGAGAAUAUUUUUUAAACUGUAUGACCACCUGGAUAAAGAACACAUAAAUCUGCUACAAACAGAAAUCCAGUGGCUUAGCAGGAGCUUGGGCUAAAAGAUGAAUCAGAAUCCCAAAGAAAACAUUUUGACUUCAAGUGGCAAGUUUCUUGAACUCAAAAAGAAAUGGAAUCUUCUGACAAAUCAUGUUGCAAAAGGAAAUACUGACAUGUUUCCACUGUUUGCGUUUGAAGGUGAGGAAGAGCCUCUGCAAGUCUCAUGAUGAGACGUGGGAGAACCACAGAACCACACGGAUGGUAUGCUCCCUCCCUGUAAACACAGGGGGUAACUUGGGCAACUGACACUCACUGAAUCUUCUGCUCAGCCUGAGACCUGUGACUCUGAGAGAAGAACAGGACCUUUGUGAGCUGCAGUCUGAUUGGACACUCACUCAAGAUGAGACUAACUGAUCUGCCUCUGCACGAGUUCUGGAUUCCUGUGAAAAAGUGGGAUCCUGCUGCUAUUUAUGGGAAAAUGAUGAACAUUUUGCUGAAGUGUUUAACUUCUCUUAAAUGUGUAAAUAAGCUCCUUUAUUAUUUAACAAGCAACAGAAAUAGUCUCAUUUCAGUUGAAAAUGAAAUCUCUGUGUUGGACCAGCAAAAAAUGGAAAAAAAAAUCAUAGGUUGCAAUUAAGAGGUAAAUUUCAUUUUUUAGCUUUGGUUUCAAAAAGAAUAGUUUGAAAGCGUUGAUAUAUCUGAAAAAGAGAUCAAGGAAGUAAGAAGUCUAUAAGAAUUUUGCAAUUGCUAGGCCCAUUCGGGAAUCUGAUCAUGUCACUCAGCAAGGAAAUGCUCUUACCCUGUCUUGAAUAAAACUGUCUUAGGCUGUAUUUUUAUUCAUAUUGCUUGGUUUACAGUUUUAGUAACUUUUCUUUUCAAUAUUGUCAAUAAAUUUCACAUUCUAAAUAA
Camelus dromedarius (Arabian camel) is the source of this 1275-nucleotide long non-coding RNA. RefSeq lists it as uncharacterized. The transcript has 3 exons. The record is from RefSeq and is a predicted model, not a curated record. NCBI's taxonomy places the organism in Eukaryota, Metazoa, Chordata, Mammalia, Artiodactyla, Camelidae.